AUUGAACGCUGGCGGCAGGCCUAACACAUGCAAGUCGAACGAGUGGCGGACGGGUGAGUAAUGUCUGGGAAACUGCCUGCUGGAUGGGGAUAACUACUGGAAACGGUAGCUAAUACCGCAUACCAUCAGAUGUUCCCAGAUGGUCUUAGCUUGUUGGUGGGGUAACGGCUAACCAAGGCGACGUUCCCUCGCUGGUCUGAGAGGAGUACCAGCCACACUGGAACUGAGACACGGUCCAGACUCCGACGUGAGGGAGCAGUGGGGACUAUUGCACAAUGGGCGCAAGCCUGAUGCAGCCAUGCCGCGUGUAGGAAGAAGGCCUUCGGGUUGUAAAGUACUUUCAGCGGGGAGGCGUUACCCGCAGAAGAAGCACCGGCUAACUCCGUGCCAGCAGCCGCGGUAAUAC
Molecule: ribosomal RNA, 406 nt
Filed under: uncultured bacterium
Lineage: Bacteria
Description: partial 16S ribosomal RNA
Rfam family: Bacterial small subunit ribosomal RNA
Source: RNAcentral